This 747-nucleotide long non-coding RNA is filed under the name Salmo salar (Atlantic salmon). RNAcentral describes it as "lncRNA (ENSSSAG00000081849.1, ENSSSAG00020051982.1)". The record is from RNAcentral. Lineage: Eukaryota; Metazoa; Chordata; Actinopteri; Salmoniformes; Salmonidae.
UAAAACAAAAAAAACAGAUACCUUAUUUACGUAAGUAUUCAGACCGUUUGCUAUGAGACUCAAUUGAGCUCAGGUGCAUCCUGUUCCUAUUGAUCAUCCUUGAGAUGUUUCUACAAAUUUAUUGGAGUCCACUUGUGGUAAAAUUCAAUUGAUUGGACAUGAUUUGGAAAGGCACACAUCUGUCUAUAUAAAGUCCCACAGUUGACAGUGCAUGUCCUCAGUAAAAGGCACAUGAUUGCCCGCUUGGAGUUUGCCAAAAGGGACCUAAAGACUCUCAGACCAUGAGAAACAAAAUUAUCUGGUCUGAUGAACCAAGAUUGAACUCUUUGGCCUGAAUGCCUAGCGUCACGUCUGGAGGAAACCUGGCACCAUCCCUACGGUGAAGCAUGGUGGUGGCAGCAUCAGCGUCGGCCCAAACUCUGAAUGCAAUGCUGCCUGACUACAGUGUAAUUCUGCCAGAAUUACAGCCUGACUGAAGGAUGUUGGUGCUCAUCUAGACUUCCGGCUACCAAUUAAUUAAAGCUGCAUCCCUGCACCUUCUUCUCCCACCGCCUCAAUGCCAUAAAGAGGAACUACAAUGUGGGGAAUCGGGAGCUUCUCGCGGUGAGGAUGGCGUUGGGGGAAUGGAGGCAAUGGCUAGAAGGGGCGGACCAUCCAUUCCUUGUGUGGACUGACCACAAAAACCUUGAGUAUCUCCGCACCGCCAAGCGCCUCUACUCCAGGCAAGCGAGAUAGGCCCUGCUGUUU